Molecule: long non-coding RNA, 1060 nt
Organism: Pipistrellus kuhlii (Kuhl's pipistrelle)
Lineage: Eukaryota; Metazoa; Chordata; Mammalia; Chiroptera; Vespertilionidae
Exons: 2
Source: RefSeq, a predicted model, not a curated record
AAACCAGUGGAGUAUGAAAUACUUUUCAGUUAGGUUGAAAUUGGUGAACAAUCCAAUCUAUUUAGGAUACUUUUUCCCAUUCUUUUGAAAUUCUUAUAGCUUAUCAUUUUGGUUUAAGGUACAUAGAUUUCUUAUGAAAAAAAAGACAAUGAAAUCAAAAUUAAAAUAAUUUCAUGUGUCAUCAAAAGCAUAAAUACACAUAGUUGAUGUACAAAGGGGAAAAGAUCACUUUUAAAAAGUAAUAAUAGAUUAUAUAGGCAGCAAGUUCAAACCGUUAGGUUCAGGAAAGGUUGGCAUGUUUCUUUAGCUCUUUAAAUCUUAAAGCCCUGUGGAUAGUAAGCAUGGUUACUCAGUUUUGGAAAACUCUUAAGAGAAUGAUAUCUUCUUUUUAGUACUAUGCAUUCUCUUUGUGAAGUUACAAAAUAGUUUAUGGUCUUCAAAAAUGUACAGUCUCAAUAACAUCCAAGCAUCUGAGAAACUCUAAACUGGGAUCUUAGGGGAAACACCUCAGUAGACUCUCCUUGGGUGUUUCGUUUGUUUUAAUACUUAUUGUUGAAAGUAUUACAUAUGAUGUCCCCUUCUCCCCACUCCCCCCUGACUUCUAGCCCAACUUCACCCUCCCCUUCACCCCAGGCUUUCACCACCCUAUUGUCUGUGUCCAUAUGCAUACAAGUUCACUGGCUGAUCUCUUUCCACCCACCUCCCCUGCCUUCUCCCUAAGUGUUGGUGAGGAUGUGGAAAAAAGGGAAUCCUUGGUUUUAUGUUAGAGAACAAUAAAGCUGUUCCUGAACCUUCCCAUAGAAUUGUUAGGAAAGAGGCUAGCAAAAAUGAUCCUGCUACUAUAAUUACCUUUUCAAAUAAACACCUAGGGAAAGUUUUUAUCUCCCAAUGGAUUUCAUGUGGCCCAUCUAAGCUGUUCAUUUGGCCCUCAAUUUCAGGAUCAAGUCUGAGAAGCUCAUGAAUGACCGCAAAAGGAAGAAAUCCAAGCUAUAAAAUUAUGCUCACCUCCCCAGCCCCACUCCCCUGAAUUCAAUAAAGCUAAUUUCAUUUUGCAUGAAAA